GACGAACGCUGGCGGCGUGCUUAACACAUGCAAGUCGAACGGUGAAGCGCCUUCCUUUUUGGUGGGUGUGGAUGAGUGGCGAACGGGUGAGUAACACGUUAGUAACCUGCCCCCUUCUUCUGGAUAACCGCAUGAAAGUGUGGCUAAUACGGGAUAUUCUGUGUCUGUCGCAUGAUGGGUCUGGGAAAGAUAUUGUUUCGGUGGGGGAUGGGCUCGCGGCCUAUCAGCUUGUUGGUGGGGUGAUGGCCUACCAAGGCGGUGACGGGUAGCCGGCAUGAGAGGGUGGACGGCCACACUGGGACUGAGACACCGCGCAGACUCCUACGGGAGGCAGCAGUGGGGAAUAUUGCACAAUGGGCGCAAGCCUGAUGCAGCGACGCCGCGGGAGGGAUGGAGGCCUUCGGGUUGUGAACCUCUUUCGCCAGUGAAGCAGGCCUGCCUCGUUUGUGGGUGGGUUGACGGUAGCUGGAGAAGAAGCGCCGGCUAACUACGUG
This 494-nucleotide ribosomal RNA is filed under the name uncultured bacterium. RNAcentral's name for it is "partial 16S ribosomal RNA". It matches the Rfam family "Bacterial small subunit ribosomal RNA", at positions 28 to 507 of the family's 1533-position model. The record is from RNAcentral.